UACGGAGGGUGCAAGCGUUGUUCGGAUUUAUUGGGCGUAAAGCGCGCGUAGGCGGUUUCUUAAGUCUGAUGUGAAAGCCCUGGGCUCAACCCAGGAAGUGCAUUGGAUACUGGGAGACUUGAAUACGGGAGAGGGUAGUGGAAUUCCUAGUGUAGGAGUGAAAUCCGUAGAUAUUAGGAGGAACACCGGUGGCGAAGGCGGCUACCUGGACCGAUAUUGACGCUGAGACGCGAAAGCGUGGGGAGCAAACAGG
This 253-nucleotide ribosomal RNA is filed under the name uncultured bacterium. Its description in RNAcentral is "partial 16S ribosomal RNA". It matches the Rfam family "Bacterial small subunit ribosomal RNA", at positions 524 to 776 of the family's 1533-position model. The record is from RNAcentral.